This 402-nucleotide ribosomal RNA is filed under the name uncultured bacterium. Its description in RNAcentral is "bacterial SSU rRNA". It matches the Rfam family "Bacterial small subunit ribosomal RNA", at positions 355 to 775 of the family's 1533-position model. The record is from RNAcentral.
CUAGGAAUCUUGGGAAUGGGCGAAAGCCUGACCCAGCAACGCCGCGUGGGCGAUGAAGGCCUUCGGGUCGUAAAGCCCUUUUGUAGGGGAAGAUUAUGACGGUACCCUGCGAAUAAGCCACGGCUAACUACGUGCCAGCAGCCGCGGUAAUACGUAGGUGGCAAGCGUUGUCCGGAUUUACUGGGCGUAAAGGGCGUGCAGGCGGUCUGCUAAGUCUAGGGUGAAAGCUCCCGGCUCAACUGGGAGAGGUCCUUGGAUACUGGCGGACUUGAGGGAGGUAGAGGAGAGUGGAAUUCCCGGUGUAGUGGUGAUAUGCGUAGAUAUCGGGAGGAACACCAGUGGCGAAGGCGGCUCUCUGGGCCUUUCCUGACGCUGAGACGCGAAAGCGUGGGGAGCGAACCG